RNAcentral lists this long non-coding RNA (1239 nucleotides) under Brassica rapa (field mustard). RNAcentral describes it as "long non-coding RNA (BRAP_LNC004127)". The record is from RNAcentral. Lineage: Eukaryota; Viridiplantae; Streptophyta; Magnoliopsida; Brassicales; Brassicaceae.
UUGUGUACAUUUCCAUAAACCCAACUAGAAGAUAUGGACUGUAGUUCUUAUUUUUGUUGACUAUUAUUGUUCGAGAAAGAAUUACACAAAUUUUAACGCUUUACCGCUUGACCACACCGUAUAUAAAUACAAACUUUAUACUACUUUAUAAUAUAUUAUUUAAUUAAAUUUUUGCUUUUAGGAGCCGGUAGAUGGAAAUGAGGUGGACCACCACGGUUUUCAACUUUACAAAAUGGCAGAGGAAGUACAAGAGGGACCUUUUUUUUUUUUUUUCCAUCUAAAAGUAUAUUAUUACCAAAGAUAAAAAACUACAAAAGAUGCCACAGAAACAGGCCCAACUAUUAUCAAACAAAAGAAAGACCACAAACAGUCCAUCAUAAAACAUCCAAGAAGGAGGCCCAAGAUUAAGGCCCGAAACAGAACCCCCUCCCCAAAAAACACGUACACAACACGUGUACAACGACGAAGGCGAACGUAUCCGACGCACAGGAAACCGUCUCCUGCCUCCACCGACCAAAUCUUACGCCGGCGCCCAAACCCAUCGGCGCCGUAUCAAACACCGUCUUCACCGGUUAACACAUCACCGGACCUAAUCAGUACCCACCAGAAUUCAACCGAAACGAGGAGCCACGCCAAUUCUUCCACCACUUUCACCUCUUUCAGAAACACACUCCACCGUAUCCCACCGGAGCCAAAUCGGGAAAACGAUUUUCCAUCAUUGUUUCCGGCCUCAAACUUCUCAAUCGAUCCAAACAAAGCGAUCGAUCACCGGAUUCCACCGGAAACCAAAGCCGAAUGAUUUCGCUUAGAAGAUCGCGAAAACAUCGGAGUCAAAGCCAGCUACACCGCGUCAUAGAGACCACCGUGCACCGGAAUCGUUGUCGUGAACCAGAAAGGAGACAGAAAACGGGACCACCGCGACUUUCUCUAUCUCUCAAAAAAUUUUAUGAGAGAAGGGAGAGAGAGUCUACCAUCUCCGUUUUCCAACCAUUAUCGUCUUUAAUUCUCAAGAGGGACCUUAGAAAUUAAUAAAAAUGUAAAACAUAAAGAUUAAUCUCAGCUUUUUAUUUAGAAGAAAAAAAAAACUGAAUGUACUUAAGAGAGUUUAAAAUUAGGGACAAGAUUUCGAUGCAGGAUGGGCAGUUAAUGUGACUGGUGUAGUCUAUUAUUAUUAUUGGCAUUCAUGUAUGUGACUGGUGUAUCUAGAGUCGCACGUUUGAGUAUUUGACAUCUAUCCCG